Molecule: ribosomal RNA, 224 nt
Filed under: uncultured bacterium
Lineage: Bacteria
Description: partial 16S ribosomal RNA
Rfam family: Bacterial small subunit ribosomal RNA
Source: RNAcentral
CAUGCAGGUGGUUGUUAAGUCAGAUGUGAAAGCCCGGGGCUCAACCUCGGAAUUGCAUUUGAAACUGGCAAACUAGAGUACUGUAGAGGGGGUAGAAUUUCAGGUGUAGCGGUGAAAUGCGUAGAGAUCUGAAGGAAUACCGGUGGCGAAGGCGGCCCCCUGGACAGAUACUGACACUCAGAUGCGAAAGCGUGGGGAGCAAACAGGAUUAGAUACCCUGGUAG